UACGGAGGGUGCGAGCGUUGUCCGGAUUUAUUGGGUUUAAAGGGUGCGUAGGUGGCUAGUUAAGUCAGUGGUGAAAUACAGCCGCUCAACGGUUGAGGUGCCAUUGAUACUGAUUAGCUUGAAAUAAUUGGAGGCUGCCGGAAUGGAUGGUGUAGCGGUGAAAUGCAUAGAUAUCAUCCAGAACACCGAUUGCGAAGGCAGGUGGCUACGAUUUAUUUGACACUGAGGCACGAAAGCAUGGGGAGCAAACAGG
This 253-nucleotide ribosomal RNA is filed under the name uncultured bacterium. RNAcentral describes it as "partial 16S ribosomal RNA". It matches the Rfam family "Bacterial small subunit ribosomal RNA", at positions 524 to 776 of the family's 1533-position model. The record is from RNAcentral.